GACUUCUGGUCUAAUGCGCCUGCCCGCGGUCGUAAGACAUGUGAGUGCCGGUGCGCGUUUACCAUCCUUCUAGAAAACGAGUCUUCCCUUUACUGGGCCGGACUCGGGAUCUAGAUCAUUUACUUUGAAAAUUAGAGUGUUCAGGGUAUAAUUGCUAUGAAUACAUUAGCAUGGAAUAAUAAUCUAGGACUUCGGUUCUAUUUUGUUGGUUUCUCUAGCUGUGAUUGAUAGGGAUAGUUGGGGGUGCUAGUAUUGGCCGGUCAGAGGUGAAAUUCUUGGAUUCGGUCAAGACUAACUUAUUCGAAAGCAUU
Molecule: ribosomal RNA, 311 nt
Filed under: uncultured Allapsidae
Lineage: Eukaryota; Cercozoa; Glissomonadida; Viridiraptoridae
Description: bacterial SSU rRNA
Rfam family: Eukaryotic small subunit ribosomal RNA (bases 103-311)
Source: RNAcentral